CUUUCCCUCUGGCGGCAGGCCUAACACAUGCAAGUCGAGCGGAUGAAGGGAGCUUGCUCCUGGAUUCAGCGGCGGACGGGUGAGUAAUGCCUAGGAAUCUGCCUGGUAGUGGGGGAUAACGUCCGGAAACGGGCGCUAAUACCGCAUACGUCCUGAGGGAGAAAGUGGGGGAUCUUCGGACAUCACGCUAUCAGAUGAGACUAGGUCGGAUUAGCUAGUUGGUGGGGUAAAGGCCUACCAAGGCGACGAUCCGUAACUGGUCUGAGAGGCUGAUCUGUCACACUGGAACUGAGACACGGUCCAGACUCCUACGGGAGGCAGCAGUAGGGAAUAUUGGACAAUGGGCGAAAGCCUGAUCCAGCCAUGCCGCGUGUGUGAAGAAGGUCUUCGGAUUGUAAAGCUCUUUAAGUUGGGAGGAAGGUCAGUAAGUUAAUACCUUGCUGUUUUGACGGUACCAACAGAAUAAGCACCGGCUAACUUCGUG
RNAcentral lists this ribosomal RNA (484 nucleotides) under uncultured bacterium. Its description in RNAcentral is "partial 16S ribosomal RNA". It matches the Rfam family "Bacterial small subunit ribosomal RNA", at positions 36 to 507 of the family's 1533-position model. The record is from RNAcentral.